Molecule: unclassified non-coding RNA, 2164 nt
Filed under: Pomacea canaliculata
Lineage: Eukaryota; Metazoa; Mollusca; Gastropoda; Architaenioglossa; Ampullariidae
Description: diacylglycerol O-acyltransferase 1-like, transcript variant X4
Source: RNAcentral
GAAGUUUACAAAGAAAAAAUCCUGGAGCACUUGCUAUGGCUUAUGCUAACGGUGUCGCAUAUUUGAACGGGUCGGCGAGCAGAGCUCACUCACCUGCUGGUGAACAGUUGGCGGUUAACCAAGCAGCAGCCGCAGCAGUCAUCCGCCAAAAUGAAGACGUAGUUAACGGACAUUUAUGUGAAAGAGCCCACACUGCCUCCUCCUCCUCCUCCUCGGAAUCGUUUUAUCGCACUAACGAUGUUAACGACACAAUGGCCAGAAUUCGGAACAGACAGAAAUCUACAAAGACAUCGGAGAAGACUGCAACCAUACUCGGCUCAGGAGAGAGCCCGACGCAUGUUUGUGCUGAAUUAAAGGCAGCAUCAGUUCAGUCCGAUUUGAACAGAAGUGAACAUAAUUACUGUUCAGUCUGUGCAGUCAGCACGUUAGACAGAGGAAACGACAUGUGUCAGGCCUGUUCUAUGCUUGGACACUAUCAGGCCUCCUAUGAAGGCAGACACCCCAGUCCUUACUUAAACUAUUUCCGUAAACUUUUGCCUAGCUGGCUGUUUGAACCAGAAUAUAUGAUGCAUGGUAAACCGAAGACAGACCAAGAUGCAAUUCACAGACAUACAGAUUCUUUAUUUAGUACUUCAAGUGGAUUCACGAACUAUCGAGGAUUGUUGAACUUGGCUCUUAUUCUUCUGGUUCUCUCCAACACUCGGCUAUUCCUUGAAAACCUUAUCAAGUAUGGGAUACUAAUUAACCCUUUUGUUUAUAUGGAAUGGUUCAUCGAUGAGCCUUACAACUGGCCUAAUGUGCUGCUGACAUUAUCAGUGUCAGUUUUUCCAUGCAUUUCUUUUGGGAUUGAGUGUGCCCUUGCCAAGGACUGGAUAUCAGACAAGACUGGAUUCUUUCUGCAUACCAUCAACAAUACAGUAUUGCUGGUAUACCCAGCUGUAAUUAUCUACAUCAAGCAUCCCAAUCCAGUUUUCUCAGCUUUCACUCUUGGCAUUGUCACCAUAGUGUUUUUAAAGAUGAUUUCUUAUGGUCAUGUCAACUACUGGUGCCGCCUUCACCUUCGAAAUGGUGGCAACAGGCUUAGCCGUCGACGCAAAACUGUUAGUGCAACUAAUGACACGCAUUCUGAUUCAGAGAAGACAAUUGAAGAAAAGAAUCUGGGCAGUGUAAUAGUUUAUCCUAAAAACCUAACUUUGAGUGAUUUGUGCUACUUCUUGUGCGCACCAACUCUGUGCUAUGAACUGAAUUUCCCUCGAUCAGCCAGAAUCCGAAAGAGAUUUCUUGCCAAAAGAAUGCUAGAAAUGCUCUUUUUGACCUCCUUAAUGCUGGGGUUAGUGCAACAGUGGAUUGUACCAACUGUCAACAACUCCUUGAAGCCACUUAGUGAGAUGGAUUUUUUCAGAGUCAUGGAGCGUCUUCUUAAACUUGCUGUGCCAAACCAUUUCAUCUGGCUCAUUUUCUUCUACUGUAUGUUUCACUCCAUGCUGAAUGUGUCAGCUGAGCUGCUUAGAUUUGGGGACAGGGAGUUUUACAAGGACUGGUGGAAUGCAGAAAAUGUAUCAGAGUUUUGGCAGAAUUGGAACAUUCCUGUUCACAGAUGGGCAUUAAGGCAUGUCUACAAGCCCCUUUUAAGAAGAGGUACCUCCAAGAUGGUGGCCUCCCUAGCAGUUUUUGUUCUCUCAGCAUUUUUUCAUGAGUACCUUGUGAGCAUUCCUUUGCGCAUGUUUAAGGUGUGGGCCUUCAUGGGGAUGGUGAUGCAGGAACCUGUGUGGCUCUGAAUUUUUAGAAUUUUCCGAAUUUUCUCCGCCUACAGCUGCUGACAAGGCAUGUGAGAGAGACUAAAAAAACUGUCACCGAUCCAUUGACUGGCCAUCAACAGAGAAUGUUUCUCUCACCUUCAGUCUCGCCCUCCUCACUGGAAAUCAAUAUAGUGCCUGCGAAUUGGAGGAGAAAAAAAAAAGGUCAGCUUCUGGGACAUUGUAUAAGUGAGUGGCAGCCACAGUAAACUUUGCUAUAAACUACACACAGAAGAAAUCUAACCUUCAUCCAACACCUAAAUUUCUAAUCAUAGAUUUGCUCAUCUCUUUUGUACAGUCUUAUAUGUGGCAUGAUUUCACUCCAGUUUUAUAAAGCUACAAACAGAUAACUUCUGACAGAGCUAUGU